This is a long non-coding RNA of Homo sapiens (human), 322 nucleotides long. RefSeq lists it as uncharacterized. NCBI's taxonomy places the organism in Eukaryota, Metazoa, Chordata, Mammalia, Primates, Hominidae. The record is from RefSeq and is a predicted model, not a curated record. The transcript is spliced from 3 exons.
CCACCUCCUCUGGACUCUCACAGAAGAGAAAAACACCCUUGUAGCUUGUUUACUGCCUUCCAGGACUUCUGUUCCAGCACCUUCACCUAUACCCCGACUAGUACGCUCUUCAACCUUUGCAGUCACUUUGCACAACAGGGACCUCGAUGCCUGAACUUUCAUCAGGGCCAACUCAUGCACCAGGGACAGGAGGGACAGUCGGGUCUGGCACUGAUCACUCACCAAUCGUGGAGACAGCAGUGAAGAAACAGUCCUAGGAGAGCCCCAAGAGCCUGCGGAGAAGGGACCCAGCCACUCUCUGGACUGCGGAAUGUGUCGUCAC